UACGUAGGGUGCAAGCGUUAAUCGGAAUUACUGGGCGUAAAGCGUGCGCAGGCGGUUUCGUAAGUCUGUCGUGAAAUCCCCGGGCUUAACCUGGGAAUGGCGAUGGAGACUGCGAGGCUAGAGUUUGGCAGAGGGGGGUAGAAUUCCACGUGUAGCAGUGAAAUGCGUAGAGAUGUGGAGGAACACCGAUGGCGAAGGCAGCCCCCUGGGUCAAAACUGACGCUCAUGCACGAAAGCGUGGGGAGCAAACAGGAUUAGAUACCCCCGUAGUCC
RNAcentral lists this ribosomal RNA (273 nucleotides) under uncultured bacterium. RNAcentral's name for it is "partial 16S ribosomal RNA". It matches the Rfam family "Bacterial small subunit ribosomal RNA", at positions 524 to 796 of the family's 1533-position model. The record is from RNAcentral.